GACGAACGCUGGCGGCGUGCCUAACACAUGCAAGUCGAGCGGAGUCGAUCGACGGAAGCCUUCGGGCGGAAGAUGGUUGACUUAGCGGCGGAUGGGUGAGUAACGCGUGGGCAACCUGCCUCGAAGACCGGGAUAACAGCCCGAAAGGGCUGCUAAUACCGGAUGUGGUCAAGGAUCCGCAUGGAUUUUUGAUUAAAGGGGAAACCCGUUUCGAGAUGGGCCCGCGUCCUAUCAGCUAGUUGGUGAGGUAAAAGCUCACCAAGGCGACGACGGGUAGCCGGCCUGAGAGGGUGACCGGCCACACUGGAACUGAGACACGGUCCAGACUCCUACGGGGGGCAGCAGUGGGGAAUCUUCCACAAUGGGCGAAAGCCUGAUGGAGCGACGCCGCGUGAGCGAAGAAGGCCUCGGUUGUAAAGCUCUGUCUGGAGGGACGGAAGGAAGUGACGGUACCUCCGGAGGAAGCCACGGCUAACUACGUG
RNAcentral lists this ribosomal RNA (482 nucleotides) under uncultured bacterium. RNAcentral describes it as "bacterial SSU rRNA". It matches the Rfam family "Bacterial small subunit ribosomal RNA", at positions 28 to 507 of the family's 1533-position model. The record is from RNAcentral.